Non-coding RNA from Macaca mulatta (Rhesus monkey), 524 nucleotides. Lineage: Eukaryota; Metazoa; Chordata; Mammalia; Primates; Cercopithecidae. The record is from RefSeq and is a predicted model, not a curated record.
UGUAGGUCUCUUCCUUCGGACUGAAAAUCACUCUAAUUCAGCAAUGUAGUGUAGGAGUAAAGGAGGAGACAAAAGAAGUCUGUGAGUUGUUCUUACUCUAACAAGUUUCAGGGCUGUCCAGAGCAUGGCUUAGGUGAUUGAAGAAACCACCCACGGGAUCAUGACAGAAGCCCCAGUGAUAGUCUUCUCAGAUUGAACCGCAGUACUAACGGAGAUUACCGAAAUUUCUAUGUUGUUUUAUCACAUUGAAAUCAAUGGAAAGCAAAGGACAGGAAAGAGCCAAACAGACAAUUUUCCCUUCUCAUCUCUAUGAUGUGAUCCCUCCUUACAGUUCUUCUGGAAAAGUCCAGAGUGCCAAGCAAAUAUACUGACUGUGGGGUCCUGCUGUGCUGCAUCAUGGCUCAUUUUGAACCGGUGGUCAAUCUAGGAAGCCAUCUCCUUAGAUACUUUGCAUCAUUUCCUUUCCCUCUCCUUCAUCACUGGGGGCUUGUACUUCCCAAAUAAAAUAUCAACAAUUCAAUCCA